This 461-nucleotide ribosomal RNA is filed under the name uncultured bacterium. RNAcentral's name for it is "bacterial SSU rRNA". It matches the Rfam family "Bacterial small subunit ribosomal RNA", at positions 29 to 506 of the family's 1533-position model. The record is from RNAcentral.
ACGAACGCUGGCGGCAUGGAUUAGGCAUGCAAGUCGAACGGCUUGGAGGGGGCAACUCCUCCAAGCAGUGGCGCAAGGGUGAGGAACACGUGAGUAACGUACCCCCAAGUUGGGAAUAGCUCCGGGAAACUGGAAUUAAUACCGAAUGUGGCCCCCUGCCGCAUGGCAGGGAAGCCAAAGGCUUGCCGCUUGGGGAUCGGCUCGCGUCCCAUUAGCUAGUUGGCGGGGUAACGGCCCACCAAGGCGACGAUGGGUAGCUGGUCUGAGAGGACGACCAGCCACACUGGGACUGAGACACUGCCCAGACUCCUACGGGAGGCUGCAGUCGAGAAUCUUCCGCAAUGGGCGCAAGCCUGACGGAGCGAUGCCGCGUGCCGGAUGAAGGUCUUCGGAUCGUAAACUUCUGUCACUGGGGACGAAUAAAUGACGGUACCCGGAGAGGAAGUCACGGCUAACUACGU